GUGGGGAAUAUUGGACAAUGGGCGAAAGCCUGAUCCAGCAAUGCCGCGUGAGUGAUGAAGGCCUUAGGGUUGUAAAGCUCUUUUACCCGGGAUGAUAAUGACAGUACCGGGAGAAUAAGCUCCGGCUAACUCCGUGCCAGCAGCCGCGGUAAUACGGAGGGAGCUAGCGUUAUUCGGAAUUACUGGGCGUAAAGCGCACGUAGGCGGCUUUGUAAGUAAGAGGUGAAAGCCCAGAGCUCAACUCUGGAAUUGCCUUUUAGACUGCAUCGCUUGAAUCAUGGAGAGGUCAGUGGAAUUCCGAGUGUAGAGGUGAAAUUCGUAGAUAUUCGGAAGAACACCAGUGGCGAAGGCGGCUGACUGGACAUGUAUUGACGCUGAGGUGCGAAAGCGUGGGGAGCAAA
RNAcentral lists this ribosomal RNA (401 nucleotides) under uncultured bacterium. RNAcentral describes it as "bacterial SSU rRNA". It matches the Rfam family "Bacterial small subunit ribosomal RNA", at positions 354 to 772 of the family's 1533-position model. The record is from RNAcentral.